This 430-nucleotide unclassified non-coding RNA is filed under the name Hevea brasiliensis (rubber tree). The record is from RNAcentral. Lineage: Eukaryota; Viridiplantae; Streptophyta; Magnoliopsida; Malpighiales; Euphorbiaceae.
AUUUUCCUCUUUACUGAAUAUGAUGACCCAAAAAGUUUACAUUAAAAGAUUACAAAUACAGGAAAAAAUGCAAGGGGUGGUGACCCUGAUUCCAGGAAAAGGUUUUGCCGAGCAAGCUAGAAGUAGAGACUUGAACUUGUAAAUUGAUGUUACUAUUAGAAUAUAUGCGAACAAACAUUUUGAAUUUUCCAGUAACUGAUAAUUUAAGACCAGGAAAAGGGUUCCACAAGUAAGGCAUGCUCAUGAUAACUUAAUAUUUGAACGCUGUUUCUCUUAACAUAUCUUGCAGGAUUUUACCAAGUGAGGCAAAAUCAGAGAGAGAACUUUCUACUCUGAGGAAGUUGAAUUGAAGACAAGUGCAUUGGAUCUAAAGUUUUAGGCAAAAUUUACCUAGAACAUUUGACAUCAAUAUAGAAAACACGGAAUGAAA